AACUAGCCCAGAUUGCAAUGAAAAGCCUUUUGCGAAAAAAACUAUAUUUUUUUGCAGGAACAGAGCGACCGGAGGAAGCUCCUGGUACUGCUUUAAAAAUAUGUUUUUUGAGUAAAAGCUUGAAAUGAAAAGCUGGAUUAGCU
The sequence is a small RNA, 143 nucleotides long. It matches the Rfam family "Flavo-1 RNA".